Molecule: ribosomal RNA, 403 nt
Filed under: uncultured bacterium
Lineage: Bacteria
Description: bacterial SSU rRNA
Rfam family: Bacterial small subunit ribosomal RNA
Source: RNAcentral
UUAGGAAUUUUCGUCAAUGGACGCAAGUCUGAACGAGCGACGCCGCGUGAAGGAUGAAGCCUUUCGGGGUGUAAACUUCUUUUUUACGGGAAGAUAAUGACGGUACCGUAAGAAUAAGCACCGGCUAACUACGUGCCAGCAGCCGCGGUAAUACGUAGGGUGCAAGCGUUAUCCAGAUUUACUGGGCGUAAAGCGCGCGCAGGCGGAUUGUUAAGUCAGUCGUGAAAGCCCCCGGCUCAACUGGGGAGGGUCGUCUGAAACUGGCAGUCUUGAGGACAACAGAGGAGUGUGGAAUUGCGGGUGUAGUGGUAAAAUGCGUAGAUAUCCGCAGGAACACCAGUGGCGAAAGCGGCACUCUGGGUUGCACCUGACGCUGAGGCGCGAAGGCUAGGGGAGCGAACAG